RNAcentral lists this ribosomal RNA (912 nucleotides) under Triticum aestivum (bread wheat). RNAcentral's name for it is "partial small subunit ribosomal RNA". The record is from RNAcentral. Lineage: Eukaryota; Viridiplantae; Streptophyta; Magnoliopsida; Poales; Poaceae.
AUGGAGUUUCUCUUCCUUGACGAGGAGGACUGGGCGGAGAUGGAGGCGGAUAAGGAGAAGGAGGCGGAGAGGCGCCGGCGGGAGGAAGAGGAGAAGGCGCGGAGGACGGAGGAGAACCGGCGGAGACGCGAGGCACACGAUGCGGUCAUGGACUCCAUCAUCCAGCACGAUCCCAAGGUGGGGCGCGACGUCUACACCCGAUUCUUUCUCAGAGAUUUCUCCGUCUUUGACAUCAACGAAGAGUCGUCUGUCCCUCCAAUGCGAUACACCGAUAGUAUCUAUGAAGAAGAAUUUGGGUUAGAAGACUCUGCAAACAUACUCUCCGUCAGCAUAGUCUCCUCAGAUGUAGGUUUCCCAGUCAAUGUCUAUGGCCGUGUCAUUGCCAGAGACAGCAUUGACUACAAGUGCACUUAUCUCUUUCACCGCAGUAGAGAUGAUUGCCAGCGUCUCAACAAGGAUGGAAUGCUGAUUUUAACUGGCCCAGGUCGAGGACUAGUGCUGGUUGAUUUCAUCUAUCUAGAGAUAGAUCUUAAAAUCAGGGAAGAUGGAGUGUCUCCAGACAAGCCAUUUAGCAAGGGUCUAAUAAAUAUUGAUGGCCGAGUACUGUCUAGAGAGGAAGAUGUCGUGGUUAGAAGGGAAACCCUUGAGAGCUGGCUUAGCACUAUGGAAGUGAGAUUCACAACUGUCCUGAACGCAGCCGAGUGCACCAUUGAAAUCAAGCUCAUUGAGGGGCUUUUUAAAGGAAAUAUAACAGUUGGCAUCGCGGAUAAAGCUCACAAGCUGGACAUGGAACAAACGAUUGUGAUUCAUGAUAGCACAGCAGAUGGCGUGAUUACAAGUGAUGAAAGUGGAGUUAUCAAACUGCGGCGAAGUGUCAUUACUAUCUGUCUGGAAAGAACAGUGGUGUUUUAA